CCCUAGUGGUUGGGGUAUUGAAAAAGUUUACCGUUAAAUCUCUCCCAUACCUCAUAUAGAGGUUCUCUAUUUAAUUAAUGAAAAUUUGUAAUUUUGUCAUUCAAAUG
Small nucleolar RNA from Capsicum annuum, 107 nucleotides. The record is from RefSeq and is a predicted model, not a curated record. Lineage: Eukaryota; Viridiplantae; Streptophyta; Magnoliopsida; Solanales; Solanaceae.